GUAGGUGGCAAGCGUUGUCCGGAAUUAUUGGGCGUAAAGCGCGCGCAGGCGGUUCUUUAAGUCUGAUGUGAAAGCCCACGGCUCAACCGUGGAGGGUCAUUGGAAACUGGAGAACUUGAGUACAGAAGAGGAAAGCGGAAUUCCACGUGUAGCGGUGGAAUGCGUAGAGAUGUGGAGGAACACCAGUGGCGAAGGCGGCUUUCUGGUCUGUAACUGACGCUGAGGCGCGAAAGCGUGGGGAGCAAACAGGGAUUAGAUACCCUGGUAGUCCACGCCGUAAACGAUGAGUGCUAAGUGUUAGGGGGGUUUCCGCCCCCUUAGUGCUGCAGCUAACGCAUUAAGCACUCCGCCUGGGGAUACGGCCGCAAGGCUG
Molecule: ribosomal RNA, 373 nt
Filed under: uncultured organism
Description: partial 16S ribosomal RNA
Rfam family: Bacterial small subunit ribosomal RNA
Source: RNAcentral